Molecule: transfer RNA, 75 nt
Filed under: Mycobacterium marinum
Lineage: Bacteria; Bacillati; Actinomycetota; Actinomycetes; Mycobacteriales; Mycobacteriaceae
Also listed under: 5 other names
Description: tRNA-Phe
Rfam family: tRNA
About the family: Transfer RNA (tRNA) molecules are approximately 80 nucleotides in length. Their secondary structure includes four short double-helical elements and three loops (D, anti-codon, and T loops). Further hydrogen bonds mediate the characteristic L-shaped molecular structure. tRNAs have two regions of fundamental functional importance: the anti-codon, which is responsible for specific mRNA codon recognition, and the 3' end, to which the tRNAs corresponding amino acid is attached (by aminoacyl-tRNA synthetases). tRNAs cope with the degeneracy of the genetic code in two manners: having more than one tRNA (with a specific anti-codon) for a particular amino acid; and 'wobble' base-pairing, i.e. permitting non-standard base-pairing at the 3rd anti-codon position.
Source: RNAcentral
GGCCAGGUAGCUCAGUCGGUACGAGCGUCCGCCUGAAAAGCGGAAGGUCGGCGGUUCGAUCCCGCCCCUGGCCAC